RNAcentral lists this ribosomal RNA (819 nucleotides) under uncultured Neisseria sp. RNAcentral describes it as "bacterial SSU rRNA". It matches the Rfam family "Bacterial small subunit ribosomal RNA", at positions 50 to 858 of the family's 1533-position model. Lineage: Bacteria; Pseudomonadati; Pseudomonadota; Betaproteobacteria; Neisseriales; Neisseriaceae. The record is from RNAcentral.
UACACAUGCAAGUCGGACGGCAGCACAGAGAAGCUUGCUUCUUGGGUGGCGAGUGGCGAACGGGUGAGUAACAUAUCGGAACGUACCGAGCAGUGGGGGAUAACUAAUCGAAAGAUUAGCUAAUACCGCAUAUAUUCUGAGGAAGAAAGCAGGGGACCAUUUGGCCUUGCGCUGUUUGAGCGGCCGAUAUCUGAUUAGCUAGUUGGUGGGGUAAAGGCCUACCAAGGCGACGAUCAGUAGCGGGUCUGAGAGGAUGAUCCGCCACACUGGGACUGAGACACGGCCCAGACUCCUACGGGAGGCAGCAGUGGGGAAUUUUGGACAAUGGGCGCAAGCCCGAUCCAGCCAUGCCGCGUGUCUGAAGAAGGCCUUCGGGUUGUAAAGGACUUUUGUCAGGGAAGAAAAGGGCGGGGUUAAUACCCCUGUCUGAUGACGGUACCUGAAGAAUAAGCACCGGCUAACUACGUGCCAGCAGCCGCGGUAAUACGUAGGGUGCGAGCGUUAAUCGGAAUUACUGGGCGUAAAGCGGGCGCAGACGGUUACUUAAGCAGGAUGUGAAAUCCCCGGGCUCAACCUGGGAACUGCGUUCUGAACUGGGUGACUAGAGUGUGUCAGAGGGAGGUAGAAUUCCACGUGUAGCAGUGAAAUGCGUAGAGAUGUGGAGGAAUACCGAUGGCGAAGGCAGCCUCCUGGGAUAACACUGACGUUCAUGCCCGAAAGCGUGGGUAGCAAACAGGAUUAGAUACCCUGGUAGUCCACGCCCUAAACGAUGUCGAUUAGCUGUUGGGCAGCAUGACUGCUUAGUAGCGAAGCUAACGC